GGAUGAGCAGCCACACUGGGACUGAGACACGGCCCAGACUCCUACGGGAGGCAGCAGUGGGGAAUUUUCCGCAAUGGGCGAAAAGCCUGACGGAGCAAGACCGCGUGAGGGAGGAAGGCCUUUGGGUUGUAAACCUCUUUUGUCAGGGAAGAAAUUAUGACGGUACCUGACGGAAUCAGCCUCGGCUAACUCCGUGCCAGCAGCCGCGGUAAUACGGAGGAGGCAAGCGUUAUCCGGAAUCAUUGGGCGUAAAGCGUCCGUAGGUGGCCAGGUAAGUCUGCUGUCAAAGACCACAGCUUAACUGUGGAAAGGCAGUGGAAACUGCAGCGCUAGACGUACGGUAGGGGUAGAGGGAAUUCCAGGUGUAGCGGUGAAAUGCGUAGAUCUCUGGAAGAACACCGGUGGCGAAAGCGCUCUACUGGGUCCGAAACUGACACUGAGGGACGAAAGCUAGGGGAGCGAAAGGGAUUAGAUACCCCUGUAGUCCUAGCCGUAAACGAUGGAUACUAGGUGUAGCACUG
Molecule: ribosomal RNA, 521 nt
Filed under: Oscillatoria sp. Ind79
Lineage: Bacteria; Bacillati; Cyanobacteriota; Cyanophyceae; Oscillatoriales; Oscillatoriaceae
Description: bacterial SSU rRNA
Rfam family: Bacterial small subunit ribosomal RNA
Source: RNAcentral